UUUUUGCUGUAACAAAUAUGAAUUUUUUGUUUAAGUAUAAUAAUUUAAAAUGUUUUUUCUAGAGAAUGAAGUACUGCCACUAAGGUAAAGGUGCUAACUUGCAAGGAGCUGUUCUCAAAACAUUGGGUGACAAAGAAUUCACUUUUACAAAAAUCGAGCAGGAUAUUAAAGACAGCGAACUAUAGAACAAAUAUGGCGAAGCUGCAUGAAGUCUAUGUUGAAUUUUAUUAUUGAAAAAAAAUAUGCUCUUCAGAUUUAAUGUUAGUUUUUAUUGUUUAACAGUAAUUGCAGUUUUCGAAUACCUGUAAAAUAAACCUAAUUCUUAAAUUAA
This 331-nucleotide long non-coding RNA is filed under the name Stegodyphus dumicola. RNAcentral describes it as "uncharacterized LOC118179585". The record is from RNAcentral. Lineage: Eukaryota; Metazoa; Arthropoda; Arachnida; Araneae; Eresidae.